This 495-nucleotide ribosomal RNA is filed under the name uncultured bacterium. RNAcentral's name for it is "partial 16S ribosomal RNA". It matches the Rfam family "Bacterial small subunit ribosomal RNA", at positions 28 to 507 of the family's 1533-position model. The record is from RNAcentral.
GACGAACGCUGGCGGCGUGCCUAAUACAUGCAAGUAGAACGCUGAAGGCGGAGCUUGCUUCUCUGGAUGAGUUGCGUACUUGUUAGUAACGCGUAGGUAACCUACCUGGUAGCGGGGUAUAACUAUUGGAAACGAUAGCUAAUACCACAUAAGGUUAGAUGUCGCAUGACAUUUUCUUAACAUGUGCAAUUCCAUCACUACCAGAUGGACCUGCGUUUUAUUAGCUAGUUGGUGAGGUAACUGCUCACCAAGGCAACGAUACAUAGCCGACCUGAGAGGGUGAUCGGCGAAACUGGAACUGAGACACGGACCAGCAUACUGCGGGAGGGAGCAGUAGGGAAUCUUCGGCAAUGGACGGAAGUCUGACCGAGCAACGCCGCGUGAGUGAAGAAGGUUUUCGGAUCGUAAAGCUGUGUUGUAAGAGAAGAACGAGUGUGAGAGUGGAAAGUUCACACUGUGACGGUAUCUUACCAGAAAGGGACGGCUAACUACGUG